Molecule: ribosomal RNA, 164 nt
Filed under: Parafaujasia fontinalis
Lineage: Eukaryota; Viridiplantae; Streptophyta; Magnoliopsida; Asterales; Asteraceae
Also listed under: 1 other name
Description: 5.8S ribosomal RNA
Rfam family: 5.8S ribosomal RNA
About the family: 5.8S ribosomal RNA (5.8S rRNA) is a component of the large subunit of the eukaryotic ribosome. It is transcribed by RNA polymerase I as part of the 45S precursor that also contains 18S and 28S rRNA.
Source: RNAcentral
CAAACGACUCUCGGCAACGGAUAUCUCGGCUCACGCAUCGAUGAAGAACGUAGCAAAAUGCGAUACUUGGUGUGAAUUGCAGAAUCCCGUGAACCAUCGAGUUUUUGAACGCAAGUUGCGCCCGAAGCCUUUUGGCAGAGGGCACGUCUGCCUGGGCGUCACAC